CCCGGUCCCCUCCUGAUACCGGUCCUGCUCCCAGCCUUUGGGGACAACCCAAGCAGCCUGGAACCAUACUCCCUCCCUUCAGAAUGGAUGUGAGUACACUCCAGACAGACUCUCCACUUGGCCUGGGCGGAGGUGACUGGCUGGACGGAGGACUCAGGAAACAGGAUUGGGAUGCCUUGAGAAGCACCUGCCCUCCAAGACCUCAGCCAAGGAGCACAGGACUGUGCCUGGCCUCAAAAUCAAAGGUUCUGGAACACGGUGCCUCGGAAUUCCCACAAGUCUCUGGUGUGUGAGAUAACCAUGCUUUUUGCCCCUGAGGGGCUCACUGGACAGUCAGAGAGACAAUGUGAUCCAGUAUCCACGUGGCAAGGGGGCAGGUGGGUGAGAAGGGCUGUGGGUGGCUGACAAGAGCUAAGGCCUUGGAGGCAGGUGACAGAUUUGGGCAGCAGGCCCCCACCCUUUUGGAGGCUUGGAUUUAAUUUUCAAGUAACCCCCGCCCAUUUCCAUCCUGCACCUGGCUUGUUUCCUUCCGCACCUGAUCCCAUUCUAUAAUUACACACUCACUCGUUUAUUAUCUAAACCCUCCUCUGAGAAGGAAAACUCGAGAGGGAAAGCCUGUUGCCGCCUCAUCUGCCAUUUCUACCCAGAGCCUGACCGAGGCCCGUGCAAUGAAAGUGCUGGAAAAGUCCUGUCGCCUGCAUAAAGCAGGUAAGUGAAAAAUCCAAGUCUUGUUUCAGGAUGGUGGAGUUGCAGGGCAGACUCAGAGGUGGGCAAAGAGGUUGAACAUUUCGUCUUUUGAAAACCCAGGCCAUUUUUUUCUUUUCGCUUUCUAAUCAGUGGUUUCUUGCCCUUCACCGGAGCCUGGGACGCCGAGCA
Molecule: long non-coding RNA, 876 nt
Filed under: Sus scrofa (pig)
Lineage: Eukaryota; Metazoa; Chordata; Mammalia; Artiodactyla; Suidae
Description: lncRNA (ENSSSCG00070023230.1)
Source: RNAcentral